This 496-nucleotide ribosomal RNA is filed under the name uncultured bacterium. Its description in RNAcentral is "partial 16S ribosomal RNA". It matches the Rfam family "Bacterial small subunit ribosomal RNA", at positions 28 to 506 of the family's 1533-position model. The record is from RNAcentral.
GAUGAACGCUGGCGGCGUGCCUAAUACAUGCAAGUCGAGCGAACAGACGAGGAGCUUGCUCCUCUGACGUUAGCGGCGGACGGGUGAGUAACACGUGGAUAACCUACCUAUAAGACUGGGAUAACUUCGGGAAACCGGAGCUAAUACCGGAUAAUAUAUUGAACCGCAUGGUUCAAUAGUGAAAGACGGUUUUGCUGUCACUUAUAGAUGGAUCCGCGCCGCAUUAGCUAGUUGGUAAGGUAACGGCUUACCAAGGCAACGAUGCGUAGCCGACCUGAGAGGGUGAUCGGCCACACUGGAACUGAGACACGGUCCAGACUCCUACGGGAGGCAGCAGUAGGGAAUCUUCCGCAAGGGGCGAAAGCCUGACGGAGCAACGCCGCGUGAGUGAUGAGGGUCUUCGGAUCGUAAAACUCUGUUAUGAGGGAAGAACAAAUGUGUAAGUAACUAUGCACGUCUUGACGGUACCUAAUCAGAAAGCCACGGCUAACUACGU